This 459-nucleotide ribosomal RNA is filed under the name uncultured bacterium. Its description in RNAcentral is "partial 16S ribosomal RNA". It matches the Rfam family "Bacterial small subunit ribosomal RNA", at positions 338 to 795 of the family's 1533-position model. The record is from RNAcentral.
CCUACGGGAGGCAGCAGUGAGGAAUAUUGGUCAAUGGACGCAAGUCUGAACCAGCCAUGCCGCGUGCAGGAAGACGGCUCUAUGAGUUGUAAACUGCAUUUGUACGAGGGUAAACGCAGAUACGUGUAUCUGUCUGAAAGGAUCGUACGAAUAAGGAUAGGCUAACUCCGUGCCAGCAGCCGCGGGAAUACGGAGGAUUCAAGCGUUAUCGGGAUUCAUUGGGUUGAAAGGGUGCGUAGGGGGUCCGUUAAGUCAGCGGUAAAAUUGCGGGGCUCAACCCCGUCGAGCCGUUGAAACUGGCAGACUUGAGUGGGGGAGAGGUACGAGGAAUGCGCGGUGUAGCGGUGAAAUGCAUAGAUAUCGCGCAGAACUCCGAGGGCGAAGGCAGCGUACCGGCGCCAGACUGACGCUGAGGCACGAAAGCGUGGGGAUCGAACAGGAUUAGAUACCCGUGUAGUC